CCCUUAGAUGUUCUGGGCCGCACGCGCGCUACACUGUUCGACGCAGCGAGUCUUAACCUUGACCGAAAGGUUUGGGUAAUCUUCAGCAAAGUCGAACGUGAUGGGGAUCGAUCAUUGCAAUUAUUGAUCGUGAACGAGGAAUUCCUAGUAAGUGCAAGUCAUCAGCUUGCGCUGAUUACGUCCCUGCCCUUUGUACACACCGCCCGUCGCUACUACAGAGUGCCCGUGUCCAAGAAACGGUCGGACCUGUGCGGCCUCUCCGGGCGACCGGAGGGCCGUUACGGGGAAGACCCUUUAUUUGACGCGGGUCGAUGAAGUAAAAGUCGUAACA
This 331-nucleotide ribosomal RNA is filed under the name uncultured eukaryote. RNAcentral's name for it is "partial 18S ribosomal RNA". It matches the Rfam family "Eukaryotic small subunit ribosomal RNA", at positions 1470 to 1796 of the family's 1831-position model. The record is from RNAcentral.